This 497-nucleotide ribosomal RNA is filed under the name uncultured bacterium. Its description in RNAcentral is "partial 16S ribosomal RNA". It matches the Rfam family "Bacterial small subunit ribosomal RNA", at positions 28 to 507 of the family's 1533-position model. The record is from RNAcentral.
GAUGAACGCUGGCGGCGUGCCUAAUACAUGCAAGUCGAGCGAACAGACGAGGAGCUUGCUCCUCUGACGUUAGCGGCGGACGGGUGAGUAACACGUGGAUAACCUACCUAUAAGACUGGGAUAACUUCGGGAAACCGGAGCUAAUACCGGAUAAUAUAUUGAACCGCAUGGUUCAAUAGUGAAAGACGGUUUUGCUGUCACUUAUAGAUGGAUCCGCGCCGCAUUAGCUAGUUGGUAAGGUAACGGCUUACCAAGGCAACGAUGCGUAGCCGACCUGAGAGGGUGAACGGCCACAAUGGAACUGAGACACGGUCCAGACUCCUACGGGAGGCAGCAGUAGGGAAUCUUCCGCAAUGGGCGAAAGCCUGACGGAGCAACGCCGCGUGAGUGAUGAAGGUCUUCGGAUCGUAAAACUCUGUUAUUAGGGAAGAACAAAUGUGUAAGUAACUAUGCACGUCUUGACGGUACCUAAUCAGAAAGCCACGGCUAACUACGUG